RNAcentral lists this unclassified non-coding RNA (20 nucleotides) under Mus musculus (house mouse). RNAcentral describes it as "oocyte_clustered_small_RNA3928". Lineage: Eukaryota; Metazoa; Chordata; Mammalia; Rodentia; Muridae. The record is from RNAcentral.
UAGCAAACACAGGGGUAGUC